AUUGAACGCUGGCGGCAGGCCUAACACAUGCAAGUCGAGCGGAUGAAGGGAGCUUGCUCCUGGUUUCAGCGGCGGACGGGUGAGUGAUGCCUAGGAAUCUGCCUGGUAGUGGGGGAUAACGUCCGGAAACGGGCGCUAAUACCGCCUACGUCCUGAGGGAGAAAGUGGGGGAUCUUCGGACCUCACGCUAUCAGAUGAGCCUAGGUCGGAUUAGCUAGUUGGUGGGGUAAAGGCCUACCAAGGCGACGAUCCGUAACUGGUCUGAGAGGAUGAUCAGUCACACUGGAACUGAGACACGGUCCAGACUACUACGGGAGGCAGCAGUGGGGAAUAUUGGACAAUGGGCGAAAGCCUGAUCCAGCCAUGCCGCGUGUGUGAAGAAGGUCUUCGGAUUGUAAAGCACUUUAAGUUGGGAGGAAGGGCAGUAAGUUAAUACCUUGCUGUUUUGACGUUACCAACAGAAUAAGCACCGGCUAACUUCGUG
RNAcentral lists this ribosomal RNA (484 nucleotides) under uncultured bacterium. RNAcentral's name for it is "partial 16S ribosomal RNA". It matches the Rfam family "Bacterial small subunit ribosomal RNA", at positions 30 to 507 of the family's 1533-position model. The record is from RNAcentral.